UAGGGUAUAGCUCAGUGGUAGAGUGUGUGCUUAGCAUGCACAAGGUCUUGGGUUCAAUUCCCAGGACUUUUA
Molecule: transfer RNA, 72 nt
Filed under: Camelus bactrianus (Bactrian camel)
Lineage: Eukaryota; Metazoa; Chordata; Mammalia; Artiodactyla; Camelidae
Also listed under: 2 other names
Rfam family: tRNA
About the family: Transfer RNA (tRNA) molecules are approximately 80 nucleotides in length. Their secondary structure includes four short double-helical elements and three loops (D, anti-codon, and T loops).
Source: Rfam by way of RNAcentral